UACGGAGGGCGCGAGCGUUACCCGGAUUUACUGGGCGUAAAGGGCGCGUAGGCGGCUUGGGGUGUCCCAUGUGAAAGGCCACGGCUCAACCGUGGAGGAGCGUGGGAUACGCUCAGGCUAGACGGUGGGAGAGGGUGGUGGAAUUCCCGGAGUAGCGGUGAAAUGCGCAGAUACCGGGAGGAACGCCGAUGGCGAAGGCAGCCACCUGGCUCACUUGUGACGCUGAGGCGCGAAAGCGUGGGGAGCAAACCGG
RNAcentral lists this ribosomal RNA (253 nucleotides) under uncultured bacterium. RNAcentral's name for it is "partial 16S ribosomal RNA". It matches the Rfam family "Bacterial small subunit ribosomal RNA", at positions 524 to 776 of the family's 1533-position model. The record is from RNAcentral.